Molecule: long non-coding RNA, 328 nt
Filed under: Dromaius novaehollandiae (emu)
Lineage: Eukaryota; Metazoa; Chordata; Aves; Casuariiformes; Dromaiidae
Description: lncRNA (ENSDNVG00000011175.1)
Source: RNAcentral
CUCGGCCACGCGCUCACCGGCGCCAUCCAGGACGCCCUGGCCCGCUGGUGGUGGUGGAGCGGCGGCUCUGGCGCCAGGCGGGGCGGACGCGGCACCAGCUGGGGCGCGAGGCCUUCCUGCGCGAGGUCUGGCGCUGGAAGGAGGAGAAGGGCGACCGCAUCUACCACCAGCUGAGGCGCCUGGGGACCUCCAUGGACUGGGACCGGGCCUGCUUCACCAUGGACCCUGUGAGCGGGGCCGGGGGGGGCCGCGCCGCGCCUGGGGGCUGCAGCAGCCUGUGUGGGGCCUGUGGAGAUCUAUAGGGGGUUGCGGGGGGCUGCAGUGGUCC